AACGCUGGCGGCGCGCUUAACACAUGCAAGUCGAGCGAGAACCGGGGCUUCGGCCCCGGGGACAGCGGCGAACGGGUGAGUAACACGUGGGUAAUCUGCCCUCGGUUCUGGGAUAGCCCGGGGAAACCCGGAUUAAUACCGGAUAGCCUCUCUGGCCUUUGGGCCGGCGAGAAAAGGUAGCUUCGGCCUCCGACCGAGGAUGAGCCCGCGGCGGAUUAGCUUGUUGGUGGGGUAACGGCUCACCAAGGCGACGAUCCGUAGCUGGUCUGAGAGGACGAUCAGCGACACGGGGACGGAGAAGCGGCCCAGACUCCUACGGGAGGCGGCAGUGGGGAAUCUUGCGCAAUGGGCGAAAGCCUGACGCAGCGACGCCGCGUGAGGGAAGAAGGCCUUCGGGUUGUAAACCUCUUUCAGGUGGGACGAAGCCACUCGGGUGAAUAGCCCAGAGGGUGACGGUACCUCCAGAAGAAGCCCCGGCUAACUGCGUGCCAGCCGCCGCGGUAA
This 504-nucleotide ribosomal RNA is filed under the name uncultured bacterium. RNAcentral's name for it is "partial 16S ribosomal RNA". It matches the Rfam family "Bacterial small subunit ribosomal RNA", at positions 32 to 523 of the family's 1533-position model. The record is from RNAcentral.